CCUACGAGUGGCAGCAGUGAGGAAUAUUGGUCAAUGGACGAGAGUCUGAACCAGCCAAGUAGCGUGAAGGAUGACUGCCCUAUGGGUUGUAAACUUCUUUUAUCUGGGCAUAAAACGUUCCACGUGUGGGAUUUUGUAUGUACCAUAUGAAAAAGGAUCCGCUAACCCCGUGCCAGCAACCGCGGUAAUACUGGGGAGACGAGCGUUAUCCGGAUUUAUUGGGGUUAAAGGGAGCGUAGGUGGUGUGUUAAGUCAGUUGUGAAAGUUUGCGGAUCAAACGUAAUAUUGCAGUUGAAACUGGCAGUCUUGAGUACAGUAGAGGUGGGCGGAAUUCGUGGUGUAGCGGUGAAAUGCUUAGAUAUCACGAAGAACUCCGAUUGCGAAGGCAGCUCACUGGACUGCAACUGACACUGAGGCUCGAAAGUGUGGGUAUCAAACAGGAUUAGAUACCCCUGUAGUC
Molecule: ribosomal RNA, 460 nt
Filed under: uncultured bacterium
Lineage: Bacteria
Description: partial 16S ribosomal RNA
Rfam family: Bacterial small subunit ribosomal RNA
Source: RNAcentral